Non-coding RNA from Cajanus cajan (pigeon pea), 1536 nucleotides. Lineage: Eukaryota; Viridiplantae; Streptophyta; Magnoliopsida; Fabales; Fabaceae. The record is from RefSeq and is a predicted model, not a curated record.
AGCACGUGACCAUUUUUCAUUCUUAAGGAUGUUAGUGGAAUUGUAAAACCUUGUAGGUAAGAAUAUAGGAUAAAAAGGAUUCACGAAGCUCAAACCCCAUUCACAUUCCUGUAUCUCAGUCUUGUACUUCACCAUUGCCUUUAUUAGAUGACAUUGCUUUUUGCGGUCCAUGUUCUAGAAAAAACACUCUCCUUCUUAACCCUGGCUAGAAAGCUUGAUCCAAAUCUUAAGGUGAAAAGCAUUUCACUCAUCUUUUGCUUUUUACUUCAAUCAGCUAUAUCCAACUUGAGUGCUGAAAUAUGUUAGUUUCUGGGAGAGUUACUUAUAAUGGGCAUGGAAUGAAUGAAUCUGUACCUCAGGGAACUGCUGCCUAUAUUAGCCAGCAUGAUGUUCAUAUUGUAGAAAUGACUGUAAGGGAAACUUUGGCUUUCUCUGCAAGGUGCCAAGGGGUUGGAUCACGUUAUGAACUUUUGAGAGUUUUUUUUACCAAAAUUAAAGAGUAUUUUUCAGGAAAAAAAACUCUUAAAAGCCUUCUAGAUUGGUAUUCAAAUAUGCUCAAAGUAUUGUUUUGGCCGUGUACAGACUCACUAUCUGAACUGUCAAGAAGAGAGAUAGCAGCAAAUAUGAAGCCUGACAUGAAGGUAACAGCCUCUGAAGGCCAGGAAGCAAACCAGAUGAUGACAGAAUUUGUACUUAAGGAGAUGAAAUGUUGCGUGGUAUAUCUGGUGGACAAAGGUAGGGUGGUGUGAUCCAACUGCUUGUCCCUGUAAGUGAUUCCAAUUCAGUUUCUAAAUUCUAUAUUAAUAUUAUGUACUCAUAAUGGACACACGAAGAAAAAUUGUUUGUACCACCCAUCAACCAACCAUAAAUAUAUUUGAAGCUUUUGAUGAGUUUCAGUUUUUCCUACCAAAUCGAGGAGGACGAGAAAUGUAUGUUGGGCCAUUGAGUCGUCAUUCUAACCACCAAAUUGAGUAUUUUGAGAGAAUUGAAGGUGGUAGAAAAAUUAAAGAUGGAUACAGCCAUGCAACUUGGAUGAUGGAAUACAACUUUCGGCAUUAGAAAUAGAUUUGAACAUCGACUUUGCUGAUAUAUACAAAAAUUCCUAACUACAUACAGGGAAGUUGUUUUGUGGUGUUACUCAACAUUCUUAUUUAGUAAAAAUAUUUUUUCAAACUAGUGCUGAAAAAAUAGAUAUGUAUGCCAUAUGUUAGGUGGAAUAAAGCACUUGUAGCAGAAUUGAGCAAGCCUCCUUUUCAAACCAUUUCAUGCAAGGCCUGUCCAUGGAAACAACACUGGUCCUCUUUAGUUUGGUUUUUUAUUUUUUGACACAUGGUGUAAUGGUGACACUGGUCCUAUUGGGCAUGUUCUGUGGCUUGGACCUUAUAUGGAUUGGUUAAGAGUUUCUCCAAAGAUAUUUUGGUUAUAGAUAUGAUUUUGUAGGAGUUGUGGGGUUUUGCAGCACUCUUUACUAUUAUCUUUGUGUAAAGGUCUUCAAUUUCAAAAGUCAUCUAAUAGAUUAUACAUCCUUUCAAGUGA